UCUCCGUUGGUGAACCAGCGGAGGGAUCAUUACAGGAUCGAAAGACUCCUAUAACCCCUGUGAACUUACUACAAAUACGUUGCUUCGGCGGGUGCCCCGGGUCUCCCGGGGCGUUCAGCCCGCCGGCAGCCUUCAAAUUCUGUUUCUUUGCGUUGGCAUCUCGAGUAUACAAAAAUGAGUUAAAACUUUCAACAACGGAUCUCUUGGUUCUG
Molecule: unclassified non-coding RNA, 212 nt
Filed under: plant metagenome
Description: partial contains small subunit ribosomal RNA, internal transcribed spacer 1, and 5.8S ribosomal RNA
Source: RNAcentral